GACGAACGCUGGCGGCGUGCUUAACACAUGCAAGUCGAACGGAAAGGCCCUGCUUGCAGGGUACUCGAGUGGCGAACGGGUGAGUAACACGUGGGUGAUCUGCCCUGCACUUCGGGAUAAGCCUGGGAAACUGGGUCUAAUACCGGAUAGGAGCCAUUUUUAGUGUGAUGGUUGGAAAGUUUUUUCGGUGUAGGAUGAGCUCGCGGCCUAUCAGCUUGUUGGUGGGGUAAUGGCCUACCAAGGCGGCGACGGGUAGCCGGCCUGAGAGGGUGGACGGCCACAUUGGGACUGAGAUACGGCCCAAACGCCUACGGGAGGCAGCAGUGGGGAAUAUUGCACAAGGGGCGCAAGCCUGAUGCAGCGACGCCGCGUGGGGGAUGACGGCCUUCGGGUUGUAAACUCCUUUCGCUAGGGACGAAGCUUUUUGUGACGGUACCUAGAUAAGAAGCACCGGCUAACUACGUG
This 465-nucleotide ribosomal RNA is filed under the name uncultured bacterium. RNAcentral's name for it is "partial 16S ribosomal RNA". It matches the Rfam family "Bacterial small subunit ribosomal RNA", at positions 28 to 507 of the family's 1533-position model. The record is from RNAcentral.